Long non-coding RNA from Motacilla alba alba, 1186 nucleotides. RefSeq lists it as uncharacterized. Lineage: Eukaryota; Metazoa; Chordata; Aves; Passeriformes; Motacillidae. The transcript has 3 exons. The record is from RefSeq and is a predicted model, not a curated record.
GCAGCUCUUCUCCCUCUGAUCCUGCAGGGAUGGCUGCUCCACUCUGAGACUCCAGGAUGACCUUUCUCAGCAGCCUCUGGGUGCUCUCUGAAGCAAAAACAAGAGCUCAUCAGUGUGGAGGCCCACAGGAAAAUGUGUUUUUCUCAUCUGUGAAGUGUUGCUCCUGAAUCUUUUUUUAUGUGUCCAUCUUAUCUGCUGCUGUUCCUCAGGCACAUAUCCCAUGUGGGGUGACAUUUCUGGCUCAGACCAGAAGGAAUGCAAAGUCCUGUGCCCCAGGGCAGCCAGUGAAUCCAGAGCCCCAGCACCGUGGAGAGCUGGCUGUAGCUGCCCACCCUCGCUCCCAGCCCAGAUCUGACCCCCUGCCUCCUGCUGGGUGAAAACCUGGCUGAAGAGCUGCCCCUGCUGCAGGUAGAGUCCUUCAGUUCCUCCUGGUGAAGAUGUUCUAUCGGCUGUCAAUUCACCUUGAAGUGAGGCUGUCUCCGAGCCUGCAGCUCUGCCUCUCAUCACCAAGACCAGAUCUGCUUGCUCCCUCUCCCUGUGGCUCUCAUGGCCCCCUGCACCCACCAGGCUGUCCGGGGACGAAGGAUCUCUCCCCCCAAACCCUUGAAGUCCUUAAAGCAGAAGGGGAAGUGUGUGAGGUCUCCAGAAUAAUGCUGGUCCCUGCUCCUGGCCGAGUUCCUUGGUGCAGAUCGUGCAGGGUGUGCCGCUCCUGACUCAUCUGCCCGUGGCUGGUGGGAUUUCCCUGAGCACUCCCUCCCUGGAUGCAUUCCCUUCAUCGGAGCUGCCACUCACCCCAAGUCAGGAGGGGAAGUGGAGUUUAAAUCCAGCGGCAGAGAGUGAGGAACCCCCAUCUCGUGCUGCUGUCAGCAGGUCCCCGCUUUUCCCAGAGCUCCUGGGAUGGAGAUGCCCGGUCCUGCAGCCAGUGCUGCCCAGUAAUUGCUGGGAAUGCGCUUUCCAGGCCAUUACUGCCCGGCUGCCGGGCACUCAGCUCGGAGUUAAUGGUGUAAUGGGAGCUCUGCUGGGAGCGGGACAAGCCCUUGAUUCCAGGCUGUGGGGUUAACUCCGGGCUGAGGGGAAGGGAAGGGCUAAAAGCCCUGUUUGCAGCUGCUGCGGCUCUUCUCCUGCAGCCAAAUCCUCCUCACCACAGCAGAGCUCUCUGUGCCUCCCCACACUGGGGGGAAAGGAG